AUACAGAGGGUGCGAGCGUUAAUCGGAAUUACUGGGCGUAAAGCGCGCGUAGGCGGCUUAUUAAGUCAGAUGUGAAAUCCCCGGGCUCAACCUGGGAACUGCAUCUGAUACUGGUAAGCUAGAGUUUUGGAGAGGGAAGUAGAAUUUCAGGUGUAGCGGUGGAAUGCAUAGAGAUCUGAAGGAAUACCAGUGGCGAAGGCGACUUCCUGGCCAAAAACUGACGCUGAGGUGCGAAAGCGUGGGUAGCAAACGGGAUUAGAAACCCCGGUAGUCC
This 274-nucleotide ribosomal RNA is filed under the name uncultured bacterium. Its description in RNAcentral is "partial 16S ribosomal RNA". It matches the Rfam family "Bacterial small subunit ribosomal RNA", at positions 523 to 796 of the family's 1533-position model. The record is from RNAcentral.